UACGGGGGGGGCAAGCGUUGUUCGGAAUUACUGGGCGUAAAGGGCUCGUAGGCGGCCAACUAAGUCAGACGUGAAAUCCCUCGGCUUAACCGGGGAACUGCGUCUGAUACUGGAUGGCUUGAGUUUGGGAGAGGGAUGCGGAAUUCCAGGUGUAGCGGUGAAAUGCGUAGAUAUCUGGAGGAACACCGGAGGCGAAGGCGGCAUCCUGGACCAACACUGACGCUGAGUGAGCGAAAGCCAGGGGAGCAAACGGG
This 254-nucleotide ribosomal RNA is filed under the name uncultured bacterium. Its description in RNAcentral is "partial 16S ribosomal RNA". It matches the Rfam family "Bacterial small subunit ribosomal RNA", at positions 524 to 776 of the family's 1533-position model. The record is from RNAcentral.